UACGUAGGGGGCUAGCGUUGUCCGGAAUUAUUGGGCGUAAAGAGCUCGUAGGCGGUUCGUCGCGUCGGCUGUGAAAACCCGGAGCUCAACUCCGGGCCUGCAGUCGAUACGGGCGGACUUGAGUGUUGCAGGGGAGACUGGAAUUCCUGGUGUAGCGGUGAAAUGCGCAGAUAUCAGGAGGAACACCGGUGGCGAAGGCGGGUCUCUGGGCAACUACUGACGCUGAGGAGCGAAAGCGUGGGGAGCGAACAGG
Molecule: ribosomal RNA, 253 nt
Filed under: uncultured bacterium
Lineage: Bacteria
Description: partial 16S ribosomal RNA
Rfam family: Bacterial small subunit ribosomal RNA
Source: RNAcentral